RNAcentral lists this small RNA (148 nucleotides) under Chrysemys picta bellii (western painted turtle). RNAcentral describes it as "TUC338 (ENSCPBG00000021267.1)". Lineage: Eukaryota; Metazoa; Chordata; Testudines; Emydidae. The record is from RNAcentral.
UGACAGCGCUGCAGUGCUCUGUUGACCCACAGAACAGAUACAGCAUGGGCAAGCUUUCCCUGUGUCACCACGUUGGUAUGCAUCAGUAUAGAGGGAUCCCCUUUAGGGUUAAGAGAGGCAUUUAUGGCCUGUGUGGUCCCUGAAUACU